Molecule: ribosomal RNA, 497 nt
Filed under: uncultured bacterium
Lineage: Bacteria
Description: partial 16S ribosomal RNA
Rfam family: Bacterial small subunit ribosomal RNA
Source: RNAcentral
GAUGAACGCUGGCGGCGUGCCUAAUACAUGCAAGUCGAGCGAACGGACGAGAAGCUUGCUUCUCUGAUGUUAGCGGCGGACGGGUGAGUAACACGUGGAUAACCUACCUAUAAGACUGGGAUAACUUCGGGAAACCGGAGCUAAUACCGGAUGAUAUUUUGAACCGCAUGGCUCAAAAGUGAAAGACGGUCUUGCUGUCACUUAUAGAUGGAUCCGCGCUGCAUUAGCUAGUUGGUAAGGUAACGGCUUACCAAGGCAACGAUGCAUAGCCGACCUGAGAGGGUGAUCGGCCACACUGGAACUGGGACACGGUCCAGACUCCUACGGGAGGCAGCAGUAGGGAAUCUUCCGCAAUGGGCGAAAGCCUGACGGAGCAACGCCGCGUGAGUGAUGAAGGUCUUCGGAUCGUAAAACUCUGUUAUUAGGGAAGAACAUAUGUGUAAGUAACUGUGCACAUCUUGACGGUACCUAAUCAGAAAGCCACGGCUAACUACGUG